RNAcentral lists this ribosomal RNA (253 nucleotides) under uncultured bacterium. RNAcentral's name for it is "partial 16S ribosomal RNA". It matches the Rfam family "Bacterial small subunit ribosomal RNA", at positions 524 to 776 of the family's 1533-position model. The record is from RNAcentral.
UACGUAGGGUCCGAGCGUUGUCCGGAAUUAUUGGGCGUAAAGAGCUCGUAGGCGGUUUGUCGCGUCUGCUGUGAAAUCCCGAGGCUCAACCUCGGGCCUGCAGUGGGUACGGGCAGACUGGAGUGCGGUAGGGGAGAAUGGAAUUCCUGGUGUAGCGGUGAAAUGCGCAGAUAUCAGGAGGAACACCGGUGGCGAAGGCGGGUCUCUGGGCCGAUACUGACGCUGAGGAGCGAAAGCGUGGGGAGCAAACAGG